UCCUGACUGACCGAUAGUGAACCAGUACCGUGAGGGAAAGGCGAAAAGAACCCCGGCGAGGGGAGUGAAAAAGAACCUGAAACCGUGUACGUACAAGCAGUGGGAGCACGCUUAGGCGUGUGACUGCGUACCUUUUGUAUAAUGGGUCAGCGACUUAUAUUCUGUAGCAAGGUUAACCGAAUAGGGGAGCCGAAGGGAAACCGAGUCUUAACUGGGCGUUAAGUUGCAGGGUAUAGACCCGAAACCCGGUGAUCUAGCCAUGGGCAGGUUGAAGGUUGGGUAACACUAACUGGAGGACCGAACCGACUAAUGUUGAAAAAUUAGCGGAUGACUUGUGGCUGGGGGUGAAAGGCCAAUCAAACCGGGAGAUAGCUGGUUCUCCCCGAAAGCUAUUUAGGUAGCGCCUCGUGAAUUCAUCUCCGGGGGUAGAGCACUGUUUCGGCAAGGGGGUCAUCCCGACUUACCAACCCGAUGCAAACUGCGAAUACCGGAGAAUGUUAUCACAGGAGACACACGGCGGGUGCUAACGUCCGUCGUGAAGAGGGAAACAACCCAGACCGCCAGCUAAGGUCCCAAAGUCAUGGUUAAGUGGGAAACGAUGUGGGAAGGCCCAGACAGCCAGGAUGUUGGCUUAGAAGCAGCCAUCAUUUAAAGAAAGCGUAAUAGCUCACUGGUCGAGUCGGCCUGCGCGGAAGAUGUAACGGGGCUAAACCAUGCACCGAAGCUGCGGCAGCGACGCUUAUGCGUUGUUGGGUAGGGGAGCGUUC
This 767-nucleotide ribosomal RNA is filed under the name Shigella sonnei. Its description in RNAcentral is "partial 23S ribosomal RNA". It matches the Rfam family "Bacterial large subunit ribosomal RNA", at positions 474 to 1241 of the family's 2925-position model. The record is from RNAcentral. Lineage: Bacteria; Pseudomonadati; Pseudomonadota; Gammaproteobacteria; Enterobacterales; Enterobacteriaceae.